CGCGUAGGCGGUGUACACAGUCAGGCGUGAAAUUCCCGGGCUCAACCUGGGGGCUGCGCUUGAUACAUGUACGCUUGAGUUCGGAAGAGGGUCGUGGAAUUCCCAGUGUAGAGGUGAAAUUCGUAGAUAUUGGGAAGAACACCGGUGGCGAAGGCGGCGACCUGGUCCGAUACUGACGCUGAGGCGCGAAAGCGUGGGGAGCAAACA
This 207-nucleotide ribosomal RNA is filed under the name uncultured bacterium. RNAcentral's name for it is "partial 16S ribosomal RNA". It matches the Rfam family "Bacterial small subunit ribosomal RNA", at positions 568 to 774 of the family's 1533-position model. The record is from RNAcentral.